UCACAGUCUCAAGCGUGGCUUGCUGUUGGGCCCGUUGUCACUUGGUGACAGGCCCGAAAGACAAUGACCGGUGUAACAGACUCCAGAUGCAACGAGCUUAUUACAGCAGGCAUCCGGCAAGUUGUGUGACCCGGUUUUCACCCUUUCUUUUUCAA
This 155-nucleotide unclassified non-coding RNA is filed under the name uncultured Eurotiomycetes. Its description in RNAcentral is "sequence contains ITS2". The record is from RNAcentral. Lineage: Eukaryota; Fungi; Ascomycota; Eurotiomycetes.